This 465-nucleotide ribosomal RNA is filed under the name uncultured bacterium. RNAcentral describes it as "partial 16S ribosomal RNA". It matches the Rfam family "Bacterial small subunit ribosomal RNA", at positions 338 to 795 of the family's 1533-position model. The record is from RNAcentral.
ACUACGGGUGGCAGCAGUGGGGAAUAUUGCGCAAUGGGCGAAAGCCUGACGCAGCGACGCCGCGAGAGGGAUGAAGGUCUUCGGAUCGUAAACCUCUGUCAGCAGGGAAGAACGGUCACUGUGCUAAUCAGCAGUGAAUUGACGGUACCUGCAAAGGAAGCAGCGGCUAACUCAGUGCCAGCAGCCGCGGUAAUACGGGGGGUGCGAGCGUUAAUCGGAAUUACUGGGCGUAAAGCUCUCGUAGGCGGUAUGUCAAGUCAAGGGUGAAAUCCCCGCGCUCAACGUGGGAACUGCCUUUGAAACUGGCAAACUGGAGUGUGUGAGAGGGUAGUGGAAUUCCAGGUGUAGGAGUGAAAUCCGUAGAUAUCUGGAGGGACAUCAGUGGCGAAGGCGACUAUCUGGCACAUAACUGACGCUGAGGAGCGAAAGCGUGGGUAGCAAACAGGAUUAGAUACCCGGGUAGUC